RNAcentral lists this long non-coding RNA (1187 nucleotides) under Spirodela polyrhiza (greater duckweed). RNAcentral's name for it is "long non-coding RNA (SPOL_LNC002120)". The record is from RNAcentral. Lineage: Eukaryota; Viridiplantae; Streptophyta; Magnoliopsida; Alismatales; Araceae.
CAAAAAGGGUGCCAAACUCCAUGUCAAGUCAAAGAGCCACGAACUGAUCGUCCUCGAAGCCAAGGCUUUCGCCUACGCACCGAAAAAACCAUACGAGGAGUGCACCAAGCCUAAACACAGCCACCCGGUCUACUAUUACAAGUCCCCACCUCCGCCUGUGAAGCCUCCUACUCACCCCUACUACUACGCAUCUCCGCCACCGCCCAAGAAGACCCCCCCACCAACUUACUACUACAACUCUCCACCUCCGCCGGUGAAGCCUCCCACUCACCCCUACUACUACGCAUCUCCACCACCCCCAAGAAAACCCCCCCACCAACUUACUACUACGCAUCUCCACCACCUCCCAAGAAGACCCCCCCACCAACGUACUACUACGCAUCUCCACCACCCCCCAAGAAGACCCCCCCACCAACUACUACUACAAGUCUCCUCCUCCGCCGGUGAAGCCUCCCACUCACCCAUACUACUACGAAUCCCCCCCACCCCCGAAGAAGACUCCCCCACCAACUUACCACUACUCGUCUCCUCCUCCGCCGGUGAAGCCUCCGACUCACCCGUAUUACUACGCAUCUCCACCACCCCCGAAGAAAACUCCCCCACCGACCUACUACUACUCUUCCCCGCCACCGCCGGUGAAGUCCCCGCCACCUCCAUACUACUGAUCACAGUCAAAUCCGCGGUAAUCGUCCAUCAAGCGCGCCAUCGUAAGUCCUUUUAAAUAUCCCUCCCCAUUGCCUCCCGUUCUAAAUCUAUCGUCAUUCCUACUCUAUUAUUUGUCAUAAAAAAACAUGUUUUCUCAGGGCAACUCGGAGAAGUCGGUUGGCUGUAUGGUGAUGGCCUCUCUUUUCAAAUGGUUCGUCCGUUUCAACUGAGGCGGAACGUCAGAGACAUGAAAUGGUUCCAGCCCGACGCUGUCGCGGUGACCAUCUUCUAUUUGGCGCUCCUCGCUUUCCAGAUGAAAGCCGGAAAAUUGGUGAAUAAAUCUCUUCUAGAGAGGAUAAAGUAGGAGUUAUGACGUUGCAGCAUCUUACGCUAAUAAGCUUGCCACUGCCCCAUUUGUUCAUUCGUGUAAUGUCUUUCCAUCCACCUGUUUCGCUCAUCUGUUGUUUGUUCUCACUCAGUCAUAAUAAAUAAAUUCGAUCAUCAUGAUUUCUGAGGCUAAUGUCGGCCCAAAAUGCAACCAA